This 560-nucleotide ribosomal RNA is filed under the name Pseudomonas fluorescens. RNAcentral's name for it is "bacterial SSU rRNA". It matches the Rfam family "Bacterial small subunit ribosomal RNA", at positions 96 to 652 of the family's 1533-position model. The record is from RNAcentral. Lineage: Bacteria; Pseudomonadati; Pseudomonadota; Gammaproteobacteria; Pseudomonadales; Pseudomonadaceae.
CGGCGGACGGGUGAGUAAUGCCUAGGAAUCUGCCUGGUAGUGGGGGACAACGUUUCGAAAGGAACGCUAAUACCGCAUACGUCCUACGGGAGAAAGCAGGGGACCUUCGGGCCUUGCGCUAUCAGAUGAGCCUAGGUCGGAUUAGCUAGUUGGUGAGGUAAUGGCUCACCAAGGCGACGAUCCGUAACUGGUCUGAGAGGAUGAUCAGUCACACUGGAACUGAGACACGGUCCAGACUCCUACGGGAGGCAGCAGUGGGGAAUAUUGGACAAUGGGCGAAAGCCUGAUCCAGCCAUGCCGCGUGUGUGAAGAAGGUCUUCGGAUUGUAAAGCACUUUAAGUUGGGAGGAAGGGUUGUAGAUUAAUACUCUGCAAUUUUGACGUUACCGACAGAAUAAGCACCGGCUAACUCUGUGCCAGCAGCCGCGGUAAUACAGAGGGUGCAAGCGUUAAUCGGAAUUACUGGGCGUAAAGCGCGCGUAGGUGGUUUGUUAAGUUGGAUGUGAAAGCCCCGGGCUCAACCUGGGAACUGCAUUCAAAACUGACAAGCUAGAGUAUGGU